Molecule: non-coding RNA, 568 nt
Organism: Bactrocera oleae (olive fruit fly)
Lineage: Eukaryota; Metazoa; Arthropoda; Insecta; Diptera; Tephritidae
Source: RefSeq, a predicted model, not a curated record
UUGAAAGUUUUCAGUUUACAAGGCAGUUAAAUUAAUUUAAAUAUUUUUUUGUUCUUUUUUUGCAAAUAACUGCGAGCAUAAUUCACAUUGGAAUUGAGUUUGGAUUACAAACCCUUUUGUUUUUGCUGGCCGCAGAAUUAAUUAAAUUUCAGAUGAAAUGUCAAAAGCACUUGCAAUAAAGCCUUAGUUAAGUGAAUCCGAAUAGCAAUCCAUUUGCGCAUAUUAGAUGCAUAUUCCAUUUGAAAAUUAAAUCGCAAUAUUUUUCGAAAACAAUGCUAACAAUGCAAUUGCAAUGGUUUGCUGAACAGAACAAAGCUUGAGAAGAUUGAAAAAUAUGACAAAUGAAAUAUCAAGGUUCUAAAAAUCGACUAGUACAUCCCAACCAACUAGCAACCUGUCGACCUGACGAGCUAAUCUAUAAGUGCAAAUCUCUUACCCUCAUAACAAGGUAAAAGUAAUUCGCAUUUUUUUCUCAUUAGGACGAGCCAACCAGUUUUCAAUAAAAUAUUAUUCAAAAAGACAGCAAAUGGAAUUUGAAAUAAAAUUCGUGUCUCAAAUUUCGAAAUCA